UACGUAGGGGCUAGCGUUAUCCGGAAUUACUGGGCGUAAAGGGUGCGUAGGUGGUUUCUUAAGUCAGUGGUGAAAUCCUGCAGCUUAACUGCAGAACUGCCGUUGAUACUGAUAGUCUUGAGUUUGGUUAAGGUAGGCGGAAUGUGUAAUGUAGCGGUGAAAUGCUUAGAUAUUACACAGAACACCAAUUGCGUAGGCAGCUUACUGAGCCGACACUGACGCUGAGGCACGAAAGCGUGGGGAUCAAACAGGAUUAGAUACCCG
This 264-nucleotide ribosomal RNA is filed under the name uncultured prokaryote. RNAcentral's name for it is "partial 16S ribosomal RNA". It matches the Rfam family "Bacterial small subunit ribosomal RNA", at positions 524 to 788 of the family's 1533-position model. The record is from RNAcentral.